RNAcentral lists this transfer RNA (76 nucleotides) under Candidatus Parcubacteria bacterium. RNAcentral describes it as "tRNA-Ile". It matches the Rfam family "tRNA". Rfam says of the family: Transfer RNA (tRNA) molecules are approximately 80 nucleotides in length. The record is from RNAcentral. Lineage: Bacteria; Candidatus Parcubacteria.
GCGCGCGUAGCUCAGUGGUUAGAGCGGGUGUCUUAUAAACACCAGGUCCCAGGUUCGAAUCCUGGCGCGCGCACCA